GGGAGGCUUUGGGCAUUUCUUGAUGUGAAAAAGAAGAGAAGAGUCCUUCUUUGGGUGAGGGCAAAAUCUAGUUUUCUAGGAUUUGAUCUCAGGGUUUGGGAAGAGAAAAAAAUAAGAGAAAAAAUUAUUCCUCUCCAUAUUUCUUCCUCCUCUUCAUCUCCUCUAGAUAUCCAUCUUCAACCUCUAAAAAGCUUCGAGAGAUUUGAAGAAAGGAUCCAGAUCAGUCAAGAAGAUGAUCUUCGCGCGAGCUAGCACUCCCGAGAAGAUCGAUCAGAUCGAAGCUUUGAGUGGACUUUCUGUAGAGAUCGGAUACCUGUGCGACUGUGAGCAAUCAGUAAAGAUCAUC
RNAcentral lists this long non-coding RNA (346 nucleotides) under Elaeis guineensis (African oil palm). RNAcentral's name for it is "long non-coding RNA (EGUI_LNC064216)". The record is from RNAcentral. Lineage: Eukaryota; Viridiplantae; Streptophyta; Magnoliopsida; Arecales; Arecaceae.